Molecule: ribosomal RNA, 1029 nt
Filed under: Triticum aestivum (bread wheat)
Lineage: Eukaryota; Viridiplantae; Streptophyta; Magnoliopsida; Poales; Poaceae
Description: partial small subunit ribosomal RNA
Source: RNAcentral
AUGGGCAAGCUCCUCUGCGAGUCCUCCUCCGGCGGCGGCGCCGUCGCCGUCGCCGAGGCCCUCCCGCCCUCCCCCGCCCCGGCCUCGCCGCCGCAGCUCCUCGCCUGGGCCGCCCCCGACCCCCCCGCCGGCUGGUCCGCCGUCUGGGCGCUCGACGACCAGCAGCGCCGCCGCCUGCUCCGGAUCUGGGAGCGCGGCGUCGCCUGGAAGCCGCCCCGCCAGGGGGGCGACGGCCCGGAGGCCCCGCCCCCCGCCGUCGUCUUCCGCCUCGACCACGGCGGGGAGGUCGAGUCCGACGGCAACUGCCUCUUCACCGCCGCGCGGAGGGCCGCCGCCGCCAAGGCCGAGGCGCGCGAGCUCCGGCACCGCGCCGUGCGCCGCUUCGCCGACGUCUACGCCGCGGCCGAGGCCUCCGACAGGGCCGCGGUCGACGCCGCCGUGCGCCACCUCUACGCGCCGGAUCUCAAGGCCGGCUGGGGCGUCCACGUCGUGCAGGAGGUCAAGCUGCUCGCGCCCAAGGCCGACCGCGACGCCCUCGACGCCGCCAUCCAGGAGCUCGUCGACAUCGGCAUCCAAAGGGAACUGGCAGCCGAGACUAUCUACAAGGAGAGAUGUAUUGCUGUAGACGAUGGAGAUAGUUGGGCCAAGUACAUGUCCAUUUCUGGUUCGGCGGAGGAUGAGCAUGACAUAAUCACCCUGCAGUACACAGAGGAGGGCUUACUGACCAUUGAUGAGAACCGGGAUGGGCGUGCGGCUGCGUUUGGCGAUGAUAUUGCCAUCGAGUGCCUCGCCACCGAGUUCAAGAGAGAAGUUUUCGUGGUACAAGCACAUGGCACCGAUGCAAUGGUUGAUGAGGAUAACUGCGUGUUCUUCCUCCCACACCUCCCUAGAGGAGAAAUCUGUGAUGUGCCCAUCUUUCUAUUCAUGAAGGGAACAGCAUGGUGCGGUGCUGGUGCAGACCAUUACGAGCCAUUGAUCGCCACCGUCCUCCAGCAUGUUACUCCAGACAAGGCAGCUGUUGUACUUUGA